Molecule: long non-coding RNA, 1748 nt
Filed under: Gallus gallus (chicken)
Lineage: Eukaryota; Metazoa; Chordata; Aves; Galliformes; Phasianidae
Source: RNAcentral
CGGAUUACAAGUGAAGCACUCAUUUCUUCUCUUGAGGUUAGAUGAAUCCAUGAAUCUCCAGAAGUGAAAGUCAAGAGCACUUAAGGAAAUUUAGAAAGAAUGAAGGUAGAUACGUUUUGAUUGCCUGCUGCCACAGCAGAUGUCAGAGUUGCUGGAGAUGACUGGAGCACUCUGCAGCAGUUCAGUUGCACAAUAUCUUUUUGACCUCUUCAAAAGAGUUGGAAGCUACUCUGAGAUUUUGCUCACUACUUGAACAAUCUUUCAAGGUGCUCUCACAACUUUGGCAAUUCAUUCUCAGCCCUCACAGACAGUACAGCACUGAAGCAGAUUACAUUACUGUGCCAUAGCCUACUUCUCACCAUGGUUUUAUGAAGGAAUCAGCACCGACUAGAUUGGACAGAUUGAUUUGUCAGCCAGAAUCUGAAGAAAGAUAAUAAUUCCCAUUGGGUAAGGAAUCUCUCGAAGACAGCUGAAGAUUAUCACCUUCCAUACUCUUCAAAUGUGACCAUUGUUGACCUCUCUGUGACAUUAGCAUAUGAGUUUUCUAGUGUUUUCUAAGAGUUUUCUACCAUAAAGAGCCAUAUGAGAAGACAACAAUAUAUUCUCGGUAAAAAAAUAAAACGAAAAACUAUUGAAAGGCAGAAAGACAAGUUUACUCCUAGUUGAUAUAUCAGUUAAAUAAAUAUAUUCUUCAGUUACAAUGCCUUCACUUGCUGUUAAGUGAGAAUCAAAAUGCUUUACCAAGUGUGUUCUGUGCUAGCUAACAUUUGACUGAUGGCAGAUAUUUCCAUACCUUCGUGUUUUCAUCUACUGAUUGCUUCUCCUUGGUCUACAUGUUCAUCUUUAUAUCAUCCUGUGAGUUUUCAUGUUUAUAUUCAUAUUCUAUUCGUGUUCUUGCAUCGAACUCUCAGCUUUAGCAACAAACUGUGCGCUCAUAUGUCACUGCUGUACCAGCAGGAGGGUGUACCUGAUGCUCUAUAGAAUAUGUUGAGUAACUAAGUACUAGAUUAUGUAUGUCACAUUAAAAUUAAUACUUCCUUUUUCUGUGGAAACUACAACAGAUACAAAGAGCACUAUAAAACUAUUUGAUAGAGAAAAUUCACACCUACAAAACACUUUUUUUUUUUUUUUAGCAUAGUCACCACAAUUAGUCAUGCAUUUUCAACCAGUGAUGAACAAAAGCCUGUAUGCCAUGCUUGGAGAAAUCUGCGCCAGUGGAGGUGACACACUGUCACUGUUGCCACUGCUGAAACGCACUACCCAGUGCUUCACUGUGCUCACAUCCACUGUUUGGUCUCCAUAAAUGUUCACCAAGUAUUGAUGAAUGACAUUGGGUGCCAUUUUUUUUCAUAUCAAGGAAUUAGAUUCCACACCUUUGUUUCAUACCCACUUCAAUGUCAGACAUCACUUGGUCAGACUGCCCCUUUGCCAUCUGUCAUGCAACAACAAAAUGUAAUGGAAUACUGAUGAGAAGACUGAAACUCUACUGCCAUACCACCAACAUCCACCUCUGAUACUGUGGGCCAAUAUAAUAAAUUAGGAUGUAUUACUUUUGGAGCAACCCUUAUAUAUAAAAAAGCCUCUCUUGUUUCAAAAUUGAAAUAUUUUAAGACUUUUGCUACGCAUUCAGUCAAUCUGUAUGACAAUGAACCCAUUCUGCACACUGAGUUGUCUUGGUGCACUUCCUCAUUCUUGGAUGGUGCACCUCAAAAUUACAUGAUAGCAAAGAUACAAGCCUGGAUCUGGAA